RNAcentral lists this ribosomal RNA (404 nucleotides) under uncultured bacterium. RNAcentral's name for it is "bacterial SSU rRNA". It matches the Rfam family "Bacterial small subunit ribosomal RNA", at positions 355 to 774 of the family's 1533-position model. The record is from RNAcentral.
UCGGGAAUUUUGGGCAAUGGGCGAAAGCCUGACCCAGCAACGCCGCGUGAGGGAUGAAGUAUUUCGGUAUGUAAACCUCGAAAGAAUGGGAAGAAUAAAUGACGGUACCGUAAGAAUAAGCACCGGCUAACUACGUGCCAGCAGCCGCGGUAAUACGUAGGGUGCGAGCGUUAAUCGGAAUUACUGGGCGUAAAGCGUGCGCAGGCGGUUAUGUAAGACAGAUGUGAAAUCCCCGGGCUCAACCUGGGAACUGCAUUUGUGACUGCAUGGCUAGAGUACGGUAGAGGGGGAUGGAAUUCCGCGUGUAGCAGUGAAAUGCGUAGAUAUGCGGAGGAACACCGAUGGCGAAGGCAAUCCCCUGGACCUGUACUGACGCUCAUGCACGAAAGCGUGGGGAGCAAACA